CACGCCGUAAACGAUGAGUACUAGGUGUAGGGGGUAUCGACCCCCCCUGUGCCGCAGUAAACACAAUAAGUACUCCGCCUGGGAAGUACGAUCGCAAGAUUAAAACUCAAAGGAAUUGACGGGGGCCUGCACAAGCGGUGGAGCAUGUGGUUUAAUUCGAAGCAACGCGCAGAACCUUACCAACGUUUGACAUCCUUAUCGCGAUUAGCAGAGAUGCUUUUCUUCAGUUCGGCUGGAUAAGUGACAGGUGC
RNAcentral lists this ribosomal RNA (251 nucleotides) under uncultured bacterium. RNAcentral's name for it is "partial 16S ribosomal RNA". It matches the Rfam family "Bacterial small subunit ribosomal RNA", at positions 796 to 1041 of the family's 1533-position model. The record is from RNAcentral.